AUACUCUGGUUUCUCUUCAAAUCGCAUAAAUCUUUCGCCUUUUACUAAAGAUUUCUGUGGAGAGGAAUGAUUCUGAGUCGUUAUCAAUUUUUUGAGGCCUUGCUUCAGUAAGGCU
Molecule: small nuclear RNA, 115 nt
Organism: Suncus etruscus (white-toothed pygmy shrew)
Lineage: Eukaryota; Metazoa; Chordata; Mammalia; Eulipotyphla; Soricidae
Product: U5 spliceosomal RNA
Exons: 1
Source: RefSeq, a predicted model, not a curated record